GAAAGAUGGCUUUGGCUAUCACUCUGGGAUGGACCUGCGGUGCAUUAGCUAGUUGGUAAGGUAACGGCUUACCAAGGCGAUGAUGCAUAGCCGAGUUGAGAGACUGAUCGGCCACAAUGGAACUGAGACACGGUCCAUACUCCUACGGGAGGCAGCAGUAGGGAAUCUUCCACAAUGGGCGCAAGCCUGAUGGAGCAACACCGCGUGAGUGAAGAAGGGUUUCGGCUCGUAAAGCUCUGUUGUUGGAGAAGAACGUGCGUGAGAGUAACUGUUCACGCAGUGACGGUAUCCAACCAGAAAGUCACGGCUAACUACGUGCCAGCAGCCGCGGUAAUACGUAGGUGGCAAGCGUUAUCCGGAUUUAUUGGGCGUAAAGCGAGCGCAGGCGGUUGCUUAGGUCUGAUGUGAAAGCCUUCGGCUUAACCGAAGAAGUGCAUCGGAAGCCGGGCGACUUGAGUGCAGAAGAGGACAGUGGAACUCCAUGUGUAGCGGUGGAAUGCGUAGAUAUAUGGAAGAACAUCAGUGGCGAAGGCGGCUGUCUGGUCUGCAACUGACGCUGAGGCUCGAAAGCAUGGGUAGCGAACAGGAUUAGAUACCCUGGUAGUCCAUGCCGUAAACGAUGAGUGCUAGGUGUUGGAGGGUUUCCGCCCUUCA
Molecule: ribosomal RNA, 654 nt
Filed under: uncultured bacterium
Lineage: Bacteria
Description: bacterial SSU rRNA
Rfam family: Bacterial small subunit ribosomal RNA
Source: RNAcentral